RNAcentral lists this long non-coding RNA (3697 nucleotides) under Sus scrofa (pig). Its description in RNAcentral is "lncRNA (ENSSSCG00000045303.2)". Lineage: Eukaryota; Metazoa; Chordata; Mammalia; Artiodactyla; Suidae. The record is from RNAcentral.
AUGGGAACUCCUUUUUUUAUCUUUUAAUAUCAGCUACUCUUGUCAUUCUGUAAUAUCUUCUUGUGCUUUUCAUUUGCAUUUUCCUGAUAAUUUAGUGAUGUUGGGAUCACAUUUAUAUGCUUAUUGACCAUUUGCAUAUUUUCUUUUGUGAAUUGCCUAUUUAUAUUUUUGCACAUUUUUCAAGCAGUUGGCCUAUCUUUUUUUUUUGUCUUUGUCUUUUCUAGGGCCACACCCAUGGCAUGUGGAGGUUCCCAGGCUAGGGGUCUAGUUGGAGCUGUAGCCCCCGGCCUACACCAGAACCACAGCAACGUGGGAUCUGAGCCAUGUCUGUGACCUAGGCCACAGCUCAUGGCAAAGCCGGAUCCUUAACCUACUGAGUGAGGCCAGGGAUCAAACCUGCAACCUCAUGGUUCCUAGUCGGAUUCGUUAACCACUGAGCCAUAAUGGGAACUCCAGGUUGCCCAUCUUGAAUGAACAUUUUAAAAGAAAUAGCUAAUGUGAACUCAGCCUUCUCCCUGCAACUAGCAAGUGAUUAUAGAAAUAUUCAAUUUUCAGUUCAAAAUUACACAAGCAAAUAUACAGAACAGAAUAAUUAUUAUUUUUAAGAACCUCUUUAAAUACAAAUACUUAAUAUAGAAAAGUCAAAUAUAGAUAAGCCAUAGAUUUGAGAAAAAAAUCACAUUCACAUGCAUACAUGUUUAUAUCAGCAGAGACCUUAACACUUAAGUUCCAACAUAAAAAACAGAAAUAAAGUUGACUUCCUUCAGUUGAAAUCCGGUGGUGAUACAGAUCAACACUUGCUUGACUUCUCUUCCACUACAGUGACCCUUGAGAAAUUUCCAGAGCAGUGCAGUGUGUUUCAGUGAUUCGUAUAUUCAUCAUCACUGUAAUGUUCUGUAUAAUUGUAAUUAAGUUGAAUUAAGCCAUACAGAAGAGACACAUCUAUUGUUGGACUUAAGAUUCUGGUUCCCACAUACAGAGCAUCAUCAAGGAUUUCUGUGUGGCUGAAGAAAGGGAAUUGUGAGAUAAGAGAUGAUACUGAGCAUAAAUGAAGGCAAGUGACAGAUCAUGUAGAUCACAUGACCCAUGACAUGAAAUUUUAACAUAACUCCUCAAUCCAAAAUGCAAAAAAUAAUUCCACAUUUAUUAAGAAAUUGAAUGUUGUAAUCUGGAGGUUAAAAGAGAGGCAUCAGAUUGAAGUAAAAGCUUGAAGAUAAUACAUUAGUGGUAUUUCAAAUCAAGAAAAUGGAUGGAAGUACCCUGGGGAGAUUUUGUGUGUGUAUGUAUGUAUGUAUGCAUAUAUGUAUAUAUUUAAUACAUAAUGACCAUAUGGUAAAAAUAAAUUCAGUGUUGUGAAGAAUAAGUAAGAUCAGAAUGGAGUACAGUGAGAAAGGUUAGCUGAAACCUUGGAUAGGUAAAAGACAACCUGAUCACAUAACUAUCUGUGGACAAUGGUAUAGACUUUGGAUUUUAUCCAGAAGAUGUUCUGGAAAGCUGCUAGAAGAUUAAAGGCAGAAUUCUGACAGAUUUGCAUUUUAAGUAGAUAUCUGGCUCUGGCUGUUUUGGGAAGCACUGGUGACAAUGUGCUACCUUACGGGAAUGUUAGGAAAGUAUUGCUAUGUCCUAGGUGAAUGAUGACAAUGGAUGACAAAGUGGGCAUGAUAAGAAAUUCAAAAUAUGUUAUAAAGGUCAAGCUUAUAGAACUUGCUGAUAAGCCUGCCUGGAAUAUUUGAGAAAAAAUAGAAAUCAACAGUCAAUUCUGGGGGUUUUACUUUUUAUUUGGAGGUACUACAUAAAUGAUGGUUGCACUGGGGCCUUAGGAAGAGCAGGGUUAUUUGGAAAGUGGUAUAAUUAAGAACAUAAUUGAUAAAUUCCUGUUUUUCAUCUAAUGAAGAUGCUGAAAAGGUAGUGAAUAUGUGCAAAUUUGGAAUAUAAUGAAGAUCUCAAAGCUGGAAAUAUUAAUUAGAGACUACAUUUAGAUGGUAUUUAAAACCAUGGAUCUAGGCAAGGUGACCCAAGUAGUGACUAUAUAUAGAGAUGGAAGAGAUAUGUGUUGUUCUGGUGAAGAGAAUGCUGAUGAUUAUGUCAUUAUUAUUUAUAGGUUAUAGAAAUAUUCUACCAGUCUGACGAAAAUAUAUCACUUUUUAUAAUAUCUACAAUUAAGCCUGAUUUUCUGAAUAUUUGUAGGUUUACAGGAAGUGAGUAUAUAGAACUAUGUUUAGUGUUCCCUAUAAAUUUUCCUACUAUUUGUCUCUACUCUUAUUUUCCUUUGGGUGUACAGCAUUCAGCCCCCUUCUCUUGACCUCCUCUCUCAUGAAAUAAUCUGUCUAAAUGUUCUCAUCUAUAGAAAUCUAUAGUUUAUUUUUUAGGAAGAUUUAAAUUUCUCACCAAUUAUUUUCAAGAUGAUUAUCUUUUACCAUCUGAACUCUUGGAAUCUUUCUCCACCAGAGGCAACUUAUCUAAUUAUUCCUUGCAAAUAAUUGGAUAAGUUAAAAAAAACCAGACUUUGCAGAAAUGCUUAUAUAUAUGCAAACAAAUAUUUUGACUAAAUAUACACCUUAUUUUUGUCUGAUUUUUACUUCUGAAAUUCUGUAUUUGCUAUAAGCUGUAUAAUUCAACCUACAGAGUUUAAAAAUUAAAUCUAAUGAAAUUUAUUCUUUAAUGCAUUUUAGGAAUUACUACAAGAUGAAAUUGUAAAAAAAGUGGUGGGGUAAGAGGAAGUGUAAAAGGCAAGGUAGGUUAUAUAGCAUCAUUUGAAGUUGUCUAAAAAGAACUGAUCUGAAAGCUAGUUGCUCAAAAUAGUGCCCCAUAAUUUAAGAACUGUUUCUAGAUUAUAUCAUCCAGUUUGACUGAUCGUUCUAGUAAUACGCUUCACUUACUCUUUGAUAACAAUGGUCUAAAGAAUGUCAAGAAGAAGACUCCUUUUUAAAUAUAUCAUAUAUAAUAUUAACUCUGGAAAGCAGUAGGCUUGAUUACUAUUUUGCUUUGUUGUUAUAUGUUAUUAUUAUUAUUAUUACUCUCAUUCCUUAAAGGUAGUGCAGAUCAUUUACCAAGGAAUUCAUCCAUGCACUCAAAGCCCUCAAUAUCUUGUUACAUUGUUACCAUCUUGUCUCAGAACACCUGUCACAUCCUGUUUUCAUUACCUUGCCCAUAUUUCACAUUUUAACCUCUCUUCAUUUCAUGAUUUAUACAUAUUUAAACUUCAUCCCACAAGUACCCAACAAUCAUUCAGAGCCUGAAUUUUAAUCAUCUGCAACAUUUGGACUAUUUUACCUUCACUGUUGUAGCUCUAUUCAUUUAUUAGCGUUUAGAAUCUAACUAACUAUGGUCAGAAUGGAUAGUUUGAAACCCAAGUCUUAAUGUGAUUGUGUUUAGAGAUAGAGCCUAUGGGAGGUAAUUAGAUCAUGAGGUUGGCGACCUCAUGAUGUGAUAGGUUCCCUCAUUAAGAAAAGACACUGAAGGAGUUCCUGUUGUGGUGCAGCAGAAAUGAAUCUGACUAGCAUCCAUGAGGAUGCUGGUUCAAUCCCUGGCCUUACUCAGUGGGUUAAGGAUCUGGCCUUCCUGUGGCUGUGGUGUAGGUCGCAGAUGUGGCUUGGAUCCCACAUUGCUAUGGCUGUGGAGUAGGACAGCAGCUACAGCUCCAAUUUGACCCCUAGCCUGGGAACUUCUAUAUAUGCCGCAGGUGCAGCCCUAAAAG